AUUGAACGUUUGCGGCAUGCCUUACACAUGCAAGUCGAACGGUAACGGGUCCUUCGGGAUGCCGACGAGUGGCGAACGGGUGAGUAAUAUAUCGGAACGUGCCCAGUAGUGGGGGAUAACUGCUCGAAAGAGCAGCUAAUACCGCAUACGACCUGAGGGUGAAAGGGGGGGAUCGCAAGACCUCUCGCUAUUGGAGCGGCCGAUAUCAGAUUAGCUAGUUGGUGGGGUAAAGGCCUACCAAGGCAACGAUCUGUAGUUGGUCUGAGAGGACGACCAGCCACACUGGGACUGAGACACGGCCCAGACUCCUACGGGAGGCAGCAGUGGGGAAUUUUGGACAAUGGGCGCAAGCCUGAUCCAGCAAUGCCGCGUGCAGGAAGAAGGCCUUCGGGUUGUAAACUGCUUUUGUCAGGGAAGAAAUCUUCUGGGCUAAUACCCCGGGAGGAUGACGGUACCUGAAGAAUAAGCACCGGCUAACUACGUGCCAGCAGCCGCGGUAAUACGUAGGGUGCGAGCGUUAAUCGGAAUUACUGGGCGUAAAGCGUGCGCAGGCGGCUUUGCAAGACAGAUGUGAAAUCCCCGGGCUCACCCUGGGAACUGCAUUUGUGACUGCAAGGCUAGAGUACGGCAGAGGGGGAUGGAAUUCCGCGUGUAGCAGUGAAAUGCGUAGAUAUGCGGAGGAACACCAAUGGCGAAGGCAAUCCCCUGGGCCUGUACUGACGCUCAUGCACGAAAGCGUGGGGAGCAAACAGGAUUAGAUACCCUGGUAGUCCACGCCCUAAACGAUGUCAACUGGUUGUUGGACGGCUUGCUGUUCAGUAACGAAGCUAACGCGUGAAGUUGACCGCCUGGGGAGUACGGCCGCGGGGUUAAAACUCAAAGGAAUUGACGGGGACCCGCACAAGCGGUGGAUGAUGUGGUUUAAUUCGAUGCAACGCGAAAAACCUUACCUACCCUUGACAUGUCAAGAAUUCUGCAGAGAUGUGGAAGUGCUCGAAAGAUAACUUGAACACAGGUGCUGCAUGGCCGUCGUCAGCUCGUGUCGUGAGAUGUUGGGUUAAGUCCCGCAACGAGCGCAACCCUUGUCAUUAGUUGCUACGCAAGAGCACUCUAAUGACACUGCCGGGGUCAAACCGGAGGAAGGUGGGGAUGACGUCAAGUCCUCAUGGCCCUUAUGGGUAGGGCUACACACGUCAUACAAUGGCCGGUACAGAGGGCUGCCAACCCCUGAGGGGGAGCCAAUCUCCGAAAACCGGUCUCAGUUCGGAUUGGGGUUUGCAACUCGACCUCAUGAAGUUGGAGUCGGUAGUAAUCGCAGAUCAGCAACGCUGCGGUGAAUACGUUCCCGGGGCU
Molecule: ribosomal RNA, 1353 nt
Filed under: uncultured bacterium
Lineage: Bacteria
Description: bacterial SSU rRNA
Rfam family: Bacterial small subunit ribosomal RNA
Source: RNAcentral